Molecule: non-coding RNA, 5774 nt
Organism: Rattus norvegicus (Norway rat)
Lineage: Eukaryota; Metazoa; Chordata; Mammalia; Rodentia; Muridae
Source: RefSeq, a predicted model, not a curated record
CCCCCUCCCCCCUCCCCCUUCUCUUUGGUUUUCUUCUGUAGGCAGCCUCCUUGAAUGUCUUCUGAACCCAUGUGCCUGAGAUCAAGCUCAGGGGGAACCUCUUUCGUGUGAGCCCACAACAGUUAGCUCCUUUUGUUUUUCCACAUCCUGUUUUCUUGACCUUUGAAUGUUUGCUCAUGAUGAGCCAUGGCAGAACCCCAUUGAGUGGUAUUAAAAAAUAACCGUUACCCAGAACCAACUUUUCUAAAGAUGAGCUUGCGUGUAUCAUAAACUGGCUUUCACCUCAUUAGGUAUCUGUUGUCAACCUUGAACUUUUGGCCCUCCUUCCCUAGCGUUGGGAUUACAGGUAUCGCCGCACGGUUUAUGUGGUGCCGGGGAUUGGACCCAGGGUUUUGUACACGUUAGGUAGAUACUCCUAUCAACUGGGCUACAGCCCCAGGCUCCAACAUUUUUAUCUUUACCCUUUCAAUUUUCAAAGAGAUUUCUGUCCGUAGACAACCCUUGGCUGUCUCCUUUGUGCUCCAGACGUCUGGUGGCCUCUUCCACAGCUGCUCCGCAGGUCCUUUCACACUGAGGUCAGACUGCCCAGCUUCCCCUGGUCUCUGACGCUUUCAGCUUUCCGAUUGCGUCUCCAAAGCAUUGUCCCUUUAUUCACCCACUGGGUCAUUACUGAGCACCUGCCAUUGGCCGGUUUGUUCCAGGAAGAAGGGUGCCAUGAGGAAUGGGGCCAAACAAUCCCGUGACACGUGGCAACAGUGGUCGGUGAAGACAGAUGAAAUAAUCAAACGAAAAGCCAUGUAGUAACUGAAUAACAUAAAUAUACAUGUGGAGAAGGAAAUAAAAUAAGCUAAUAUACAAGUGGCAAGGGAAGAGAAGAAACAGCAAGUGACAAAGGGAGGAAAGGACGUCUCUGGCUGGUGUGAAGAUGGGGGUAAGGACCUAGGUUGGGAACAAGAGGAACAAUUAGGAGGAUAUUAGAGAAGCCCGGGAGAGCAGCAGUGGUGGCUUGGAUAGUGCCCCCUUUGAACAGCGGUAACAAUGCAGGAAAGAGAUAAACAGACCUCAGAUAGGUCUCAGAAGCAGCCAUUGCAGGGUAGAAAAAGCUCUAGUGUGGGAUCCUGGGACUGAGUCCUGGGCCCGCAACUCACUGACAGAGUCCUCAUUGAUAAAAUGAAGACAAUGGCCCCUGCUUUCAGUUUCUCGGGAUGGGGAGGUGUGGAAGGCAAUACCACCUCCUUCCCAGCCCCGUGCCCAUGGUGCCCGCUACUUGGGAGAAUGCAAACAGGCUUGAGUGUGCUCUGGGAAGGAAGCUCAGAUUUCUUAGACCCUCUUCCUUAUUAGAAGCUGAAAAGGAAAGAUUCUUGUUUACCCUGGGGAUAACUUUAAAUUGGCUCUGUUACAAGGAAGGGUGCAUCUGGAGGCCUCUCAUUGUCUUCCCAUGGUAGAAAAACUCCAGCCGGAGCUGAGCUUGUCCCUGUCCUAGGGUCAGCUGGGUCUCUGUGCUCUCGACAUGAGCCUGUUGGUGGGUCAGGGAAGGAAGAGGAGGGACUGUAUGAAGAAAGGACAGGCUUCUAGAAACUCGGCCUGGGUGGACAUUGACCUGCUGUGGGUGGAGUUCAGUUCCCAGCCCUUUCCGUGAAAGUUCUAAGAGCAGAGGUCCUAAUCCUGGAAAUCCCCAGCCUACGCUGGCUUGUGGCCUACUUUGUCCUGUAGCCCUAUGGGAGGUCUGGGGACAGGGUGCACAGAGAUUUAUUAGGGCAUAAAUCAAAGGUCAGUGGAACAGGAGAGUGAGAGUCCCUUUCGAUCCCUGAGUGUGGACUCUGGAAUCUUGGGUCCAGAGGGAAAUGGAGGAACUGACGUCAACAGGGCACCUACAAUCCGCUGGCAGCAUGCCAAGUAUCACUCUGAUGGCAUCCAAUGUCACCUCCUCCUCUUUUUUCCAACCCCCCCACCCCCGCGCAUGCUUUUUAUGGAGAAAGGAUCUCCUAUGCAGCACAGGCUGGUCUAGAACUCAUGAUCCUCCCAAGUGCUAGGAUUGCAGAUAUGUAAUCCCACUUGUCUCUCCAUUUUUCUCUCCUGACCUAGGAAACUGGGGCUUUGAGGGAUACAAGCAUCGUUUCUUCUGCUAUAGGCUUGGUAUUGUUGACUGAAUCUGCCCAAAGGACCCAGAGAACUCCUGUGGCAGACCCGGGAGCAUGGUGUGGAAAGACCUCACUGAUGUGUGCUUACAUGUGGUUGGAUUGGAACCUUCCCUCUCUACUCUGAAGCUUCCCUGAAGGUUCUUGAUGAGAAGUUUGUCAACCUCUAGAUUACCCGGAAAAGAAACUUUAAGUUGGGUCAACUGGCUCUCUGAGUAUAAUGCAUGGAGCGAGCCACUUAACCUCUCCGAGGGUCGGUUACUUUGUAAAAUAGGGUUCAGCCUUGCCGGUCUACUGUAGGAUUAUGAAUAUUACAGUAAGAUGAAUAAAUGAUAGCCCCUGACAUACAUCUCAUCGUUAAGUCACCUUUUUGUGUGUUGACAGCCUCCUCUGACUCCCUCUGUUACACAGACAUUGUAGUGCUCCAGCAGCUCCUCUCCAUCCUCAUGGGAAAGCUGUGCUCCCACAGGUCACCCGGCCUAUGCCCACGAUGCCUGGAGCUCAGACAUGUGGGUAGCAUCCUUUGCUUUUCAGCUGGCAUGCAUGGCCCCCUUCCUGGGCUGGGCUGGUGAUGAGGACUGGCCCUGUGCCCUGCUCCUCUGCCAGCUGGGUGGCUGGGCCAGCAGCAGCUUGGACAAGCUUGAAGGCCCAGCAGGGCCUCUGUGAGCGGCAGCCUUCCUGAGCCCUCCUUUAGCACUGGGCCAUCUGGUGCCUCUGUCCCCUUUUGUGUGCCUGGAGUGAGAUGGCAGAGGCAGGGAGGCAAGAGAGGAGGGGACAGGGGAUGUCAUGGCCAGCUUUCCUCCCAGUUGAAGAAGGAGAAGUUUGAGGGAAGCCGAUCCUGGGAAAGAGGUAGCCACUGCAGACUCAGGAGGGACUGGGCAGGAUGGGGAUGGUGCUAGGAUUCCUCCCCCUCCCUACCAUGUGUGUUUUCUAUAGAGUCUGGAUAGAUGCAAGGAAGGGAAGACAGAGCAGGAUGUAGGAGCAAAGCCGUAAGUGCUGAAUGAAGAAAGCAUGGCACACUGAAUCAAAGUCCUCAGAAAGCCGCAGAGGGGGCUGGGGACAUGGCCUCACUGGUAAAGUGCUUGCCACAUAAGCGGGAGUACCUGACUUUAGCUCCCUAGCACCCAUCAGAAAAGCUGAGCAUCUUGCGUGUGCCUUCAAUCCUGGCACUGGGGAGGUAGAAACAGGACUUGGGGCUUCCUGGCUAGCCAGUAAGCUGCUCUAGUGGGCUUCAGAUUCCGUGACUGAGCCCAUCUUAAAAAGUAAAUUUGGUGGAGAGUGAUUGAGCGAGGUGCCCAACAUCAACCUCUCAUCUCCACAUCCAGGGACACAUAUACAUAUGUACCGUGCCUGCCCCCCUCCCCGGAAACCUGUGAGCUGGAACAAUAGACAAAGGUGUUAGCAAGUCUCUGAGGGAAAUGUAUGUGGCUGCCCUCUUUCUGCUCAAGGAAAAAGGAAGUGAGAGAAUACGGUUGGGGCCCUUCCUUGUUUAAGUGUAGAGGAAAGGAGGUGGCUGAAACCUGUGGGUGGUACUCGUAGCAGCCUUGGAGUUCCAGUAACCCCAUCCACAGCUCCAGCUUGGGUGCCUGUCACACUGUGUAGAAGGAGUCUUAUUCCACGGAGAACUUUCAGGAUGGGUGCAGUCUCUGGGGCUGGGGAGGAAAAGUUACCCUGACAAACAGUCAUCCCCUGGUGUGGUUCCCACAGCACUGGGGGCUCUGGUGGGCUUUAAGGACUCUAAACUCUUGGGUUUCACAUGGCAUGAGGAACAGUUAGCCGACGACGAGGCCACUGCUUUGCAAUUCUCUGGAGCUCUUGGCAGUCAGCUUCUUGUCUGUGUUCAGCAAACACUUUUCUUGGGAGCUGCACAGGCUGACCUUGGGCUGGAAGCAUCUCUUCUUGAAGGUACUGUUCUCAGAGUCCACUCAGAAGUAAGCUCCCCUGCCUGGCUGGUUUUCCAGGCAUCUCCUCAUUCUUAGCUGUACCUUCCUGAGGUGCAGUAAGCCCUCUUGAUGUCCCCGAAUAGGCCUUGUCAUUGUAUCGGCAUCCGUCUUCGGGUCCCAUCUGGUCACCAUUGCUGUCCUUGAAGCAGGAAAUCUCUGAACUAAUUCCUGACGGAGCUGCCGGGAGAGCGCAUUAGGCCGAGAUGAAGCUGAGUGUGAUUGAUUUAGCACACGUAGAACCAUUUAACAUCCACCAAGUCCACAGGGUUUUUUUUUUCUCCCUCCCACCACUCUAGUCAUUUGAAGAGCUUGGGUUAGAUGCUCUAGGGGAACAUUUUGUAACUCUGAUGGUGGCGAAGGGGUGCCCUAACCUGCUCCCUGAAAGGGCAAGCGUGUCGUGGUGGUUCCAGACCCGGUCAGCUCUGGAGGGAACAGCAGUGAGUGGGGAGAGCCCACUGCUAGAGUCACAUUCACCUUGAGGAAGGUCAGGCCAAGGCUCAGAAAAUCUUUAAGGUCAGGUGAAGCUGAAAAAAUGGAUUGAGCUAAAUAGGUAGAUGAUGGCCCCUCACACGUGUCUACUCCAUGCCACAGCUGGCUUAUCUGAGCCACCUCGGGUAGGUAUAGAGGUGACCUUAAUUAACUGCUAUUUAUUGAGUAUUUAUGACUUGGGCAUUGCACUACAUACAGAUGGUCACAAUUAGUCCUGCCAACCGCCUUGAAAGGCAUGAGUGGGAAAGGCAUGGUCCAGAGAGACGAAGGCAUAGUCCCAUUCUCACACAGCUGGUAAAUGCCGGUCACUUUUUAAACUGUCACCAAGGGAGGACAAAAGCUGGGUGCUUUCCAGAGGGCUGUCCUUCUGUCUGGCCUGAUGGGGAUGUAACAGGAUGAGUGGCACGGGGAUUGGGGUGCUGUUGGAGAGGGUCAGAAAAUGGUUGCAAGGUAAGCCCCAGGCAUAACGAUGCUGUGAGCAGCAGGAGAGCAGGUAGAGCGCUUGCUUAGCAUAUAUGACAUAUGCUGGAUUUGACGCCCCAGCACUGUAUAGACGGGACACAGUAGCAUAUGUCUGCAAAUCCAGUAUCUGAGAUGUGGGGACAGAAGGAUCAGAAGUUCAAGGUCAUUGUCAGCUACACAGUAAAUUCAAGGUCAAGCGGAGACACAUGGGUCCCAGUCUCAAGAGGGGUGGGGGAGAGUGAGCGCAUGCCGUCUCUUCAGCCUGAGCAGGACAUUGAUGUUUGAAAGCUGGCAUGCAUUUCUUUCGAAUGGAGAGACUAACAGGCACAGAAGCACAGCACAGGGCUGGAGUGAUGGUUCAGUAGGCAAGAGUGAGCGCCUGAACUUGGAUCCUAGCCCACAUCAAAAGCUGGGAAUGGCUGCACCUGAGCCUGGAAAAACCCCAGGGCUGUUGGGGGCAGAGGCAAGAGAAUUACUGGGGCCUGCUGGUUGCCAGAUUAACUCUACAUCCAGUAAAGGCUCUUUCUGAAAGGAGUAAGAUGAAGAGUGAUAGAGCAGGGCACCUAACGUCCUCUUCUGAUUUCCUUGCGCAUGCACACAGACAGACAGACAGACAGACAGACAAACAUGCACACAAACACACACACAGAUAGACACAGACACAGACACAAACACAGAGAUACACACACACACACACACACACGCACGCACCAACAUGCACACAGAGAUAGAGAUACAGAAA